This 474-nucleotide ribosomal RNA is filed under the name uncultured organism. Its description in RNAcentral is "partial 16S ribosomal RNA". It matches the Rfam family "Bacterial small subunit ribosomal RNA", at positions 332 to 797 of the family's 1533-position model. The record is from RNAcentral.
UACACUCCUGCGGGAGGCAGCAGUGGGGAAUUUUGGACAAUGGGCGAAAGCCUGAUCCAGCCAUGCCGCGUGCAGGAUGAAGGCCUUCGGGUUGUAAACUGCUUUUGUACGGAACGAAACGGCCUUUUCUAAUAAAGAGGGCUAAUGACGGUACCGUAAGAAUAAGCACCGGCUAACUACGUGCCAGCAGCCGCGGUAAUACGUAGGGUGCAAGCGUUAAUCGGAAUUACUGGGCGUAAAGCGUGCGCAGGCGGUUAUGUAAGACAGUUGUGAAAUCCCCGGGCUCAACCUGGGAACUGCAUCUGUGACUGCAUAGCUAGAGUACGGUAGAGGGGGAUGGAAUUCCGCGUGUAGCAGUGAAAUGCGUAGAUAUGCGGAGGAACACCGAUGGCGAAGGCAAUCCCCUGGACCUGUACUGACGCUCAUGCACGAAAGCGUGGGGAGCAAACAGGAUUAGAUACCCCUGUAGUCCCA